GAUGAACGUUGGCGGUGUGCCUUAUGCAUGCAAGUCGAACGGGGAUAUGACUUUCGGGUUAUAUUCUAGUGGCGAACGGCUGAGUAACGCGUAAGUAACCUACCCUCGAGUGGGGAAUAACUUGUCGAAAGGCAAGCUAAUACCGCAUGAUAUGAACCGAAAGGUAUGUUUGGUUACCAAAGUCUUCGGAUGCCUUGAAGAGGGGCUUGCGUCUGAUUAGCUAGUUGGUGAGGUAAUGGCUCACCAAGGCGAUGAGCAGUAGCUGGUCUGAGAGGAUGGUCAGCCAGAUAGGGACUGAGACACGGCCCUGACUCCUACGGGAGGCAGCAGCAGGGAAUAUUGGACAAUGGGCGAAAGCCUGAUCCAGCGACACCGCGUGAGGGAAGAAGGCCUUCGGGUUGUAAACCUCUUUUCUCUGGGAAGAAUAAUUGACGGUACCAGAGGAAUAAGCCUCGGCUAAUUACGUGCCAGCAGCCGCGGUAAAACGUGGGAGGCGAACAUUAUCCGGAUUUACUGGGCGUAAAGGGAGUGUAGGCGGUUCUUUAAGUCAGGUGUGAAAUUUCUUGACUCAAUCAAGAAAAGUCAUUUGAAACUGAGGGACUUGAGGGCGGCAGAAGGAAACGGAAUUCCCGGUGUAGCGGUGAAAUGCGUUGAUACCGGGAAGAACACCAGUGGCGAAGGCGGUUUCCUAGGCUGUUUCUGACGCUGAGACUCGAAAGCGUGGGGAGCGAAGCGGAUUAGAUACCCGCGUAGUCCACGCCGUAAACGGUGGACACUAGAUAUGGGGAGUAUCGACCCUCCUCGUGUCGAAGCUAACGCUUUAAGUGUCCCGCCUGGGGACUACGACCGCAAGGUUA
This 857-nucleotide ribosomal RNA is filed under the name uncultured Chloroflexota bacterium. Its description in RNAcentral is "bacterial SSU rRNA". It matches the Rfam family "Bacterial small subunit ribosomal RNA", at positions 28 to 896 of the family's 1533-position model. Lineage: Bacteria; Bacillati; Chloroflexota. The record is from RNAcentral.